UAACAUAAUUUGAUGAUACAAAAAAAUCAUGGUUGUCUUCAGUGACACAUGGAGAGGAGGGGGGUGUGGAAUCAUUACUGAAGUGAAACUGAUCAAGCCUGGUGUAUCUCACUACUGUCACAGGGAACGCUCGGAUCAGAACCAGGACCAAGCAGCAGGGGGAGUAGAGCUCUCCAGCCAAACACAGCAACCUGAUUCUGAAGACAUUGUUUACAGUGUGAUUGACACCAGCAAACACAACAAUACAAAGAAAGUCAAACCUGCUGAGACUGACACUGUGUACUCAGCUGUGAAAAUAAGUGCAGGUAA
Molecule: long non-coding RNA, 309 nt
Organism: Acipenser ruthenus (sterlet)
Lineage: Eukaryota; Metazoa; Chordata; Actinopteri; Acipenseriformes; Acipenseridae
Exons: 3
Source: RefSeq, a predicted model, not a curated record